UUUGGUGGACUGUUGGGAAGGCAUGAUUGGUUUUGAAAUCUGAGCCGAAAUUGGAAUAAUGGGAGCUCCCUCUGCUACUGUACCUUGGACAAACGCAAGGAUCUGCUCGUAUUGUUCUUUAGCCUGCCUUUCUUUUACCAAAUCAAUUUUAUUUUGUAGAAUCAAAAUAUGCUUCAGUUUCAUGAUCUCUAUAGCAGCCAGGUGUUCAGAUGUCUGAGGCUGAGGGCAAGAUUCAUUACCAGCUAUCAACAGAAGAGCUGCAUCCAUCACUGCUGCACCGUUCAGCAUAGUAGCCAUCAAAAUAUCGUGGCCAGGACAGUCAACAAAGGAAACAUGUCUGACUAAUCUGAAGUUCCCUUUGGUUCCUGGAAUGUCUGUAGGAAACUCAUCAGGCAUACUGCUCCCACAAGAUCGAUAACAUUCUGGCCGAGGGCAACUUGGGUCAUCAAGUUGAUAAAUCUUAGCAUUAGCAUAUCCAAGCUUGAUUGUAAUAUUUCUUUCUAGUUCAUUUUUGAACCUGACGGUGUGAACUCCAGAAAUAGCUUUGACGACUGUGGAUUUCCCAUGAGCUACAUGACCAAUUGUACCUAUAUUAAUUGUGGCUUGUCUGCUGAUAACUUCGUGUGAAAGUGGCGUCAACUUGGUAACAUCCAAGGUGGUGAGAUCCUGACGCGAAAGGUGCGGCUGCCCCAGAGUCACCCCAGCUUCUCCGCCCGC
This 717-nucleotide long non-coding RNA is filed under the name Homo sapiens (human). Its description in RNAcentral is "HSALNT0366730". The record is from RNAcentral. Lineage: Eukaryota; Metazoa; Chordata; Mammalia; Primates; Hominidae.